Molecule: long non-coding RNA, 583 nt
Filed under: Marmota monax (woodchuck)
Lineage: Eukaryota; Metazoa; Chordata; Mammalia; Rodentia; Sciuridae
Source: RNAcentral
CUGGGCCGCAUGCAUGCCAGGCGAGCUCGCUACCGCUUGAGCCACAUCCCCAGCCCCGAAUGAAUGUUUUCUAUAGCCAGAGCUGACAUGGGCUUGCUCCCUUCUGAGUGCCCAUGGUGACACCAACACCUAGAACACUGAAACACUUUGCCAGCCUUGCCAACAUCCUAGCAUGAAGGGUCACAUAGUUGCCUUUGGUAUAGUCCCUUUCCACCAGAGGUAGACUGGUCACCUUAGGGCUCCAUCUUUGCUUGUUUGGUUCAGGAAAUUUUGUCCCAUUUCAUGUAUAUUUCACUCUUUCCCUCUACUAGCUUCUCUCAGUCUAAAUUCUUACUGUAAUUGACUAUCAGAUAUAUAUUUCUUUUAAUAGUCAACCACUUAAAGACUCCCAGUUUUUUUCUGUCAUUGAGGUGGGGACUGAUCCACUGACAUGGCCCAUUUCCUGUUCAUCCAGGGGUGUGCUGUUUGCUGUGCAUGGGUGCUGCUUCCAUCAGGUAAGCUGAUAGUAGUUACAGACAUUCAUGCUGAGGAGACAAUAGGGUACUGUAUCACAUGUGUUUUGGUAAAUAAAAAUGGAGUUGGG